AUCCUGUCCUGGUUCCCAGUCGUGGCCAUUGGGUUUUCAUGCCAUUGUGCAAGAUGUUCCUCCCUGAAACCCUGAUAUAAAGUCAGCAGCACAUCAGCCUUCUGAUG
Molecule: small nucleolar RNA, 107 nt
Filed under: Ictidomys tridecemlineatus (thirteen-lined ground squirrel)
Lineage: Eukaryota; Metazoa; Chordata; Mammalia; Rodentia; Sciuridae
Description: Spermophilus tridecemlineatus (thirteen-lined ground squirrel) Small nucleolar RNA U13
Rfam family: Small nucleolar RNA U13
Source: Rfam by way of RNAcentral